RNAcentral lists this ribosomal RNA (451 nucleotides) under uncultured bacterium. RNAcentral's name for it is "bacterial SSU rRNA". It matches the Rfam family "Bacterial small subunit ribosomal RNA", at positions 917 to 1382 of the family's 1533-position model. The record is from RNAcentral.
GGACCCGCACAAGCAGUGGAGCGCUUGGUUUAAUUCGAUGCUAAGCGAAGAACCUCACCAGGGCUUGAACUGUAGCUGCAAACCCCCAGAAACGGGGGAAUCCUUCGAGGGUGCUACAGAGGUGCUGCAUGGCUGUCGUCAGCUCGUGUCGUGAGAUGUAGGGUUAAGUCCCGCAACGAGCGCAACCCCUAUUCGCUGUUAUAAUUUCUGCGAAAACUGCCACGCCAAAACGUGGAGGAAGGUGGGGAUGACGUCUAGUCAUCAUAGCCCUUAUGUCCUGGGCUACACAAGCGCUACAAUGGGUAGAGCAAUAGGUCGCCAAACCGCAAGGUGGAGCUAAUCCUAAAAACCUACCCUCAGUUCAGAUUGUCGGCUGCAACUCGCCGACAUGAAGUUGGAAUUGCUAGUAAUCGCGGAUCAGCAUGCCGCGGUGAAUACGUUCUCGGGUCUU